CUCAACUGGUUCCUGUAGCUUCACAAGGUGUUGAAUUGGGGAAACUGAGAAAACCCCCAGUUAAUAAAAUCGAAAACAAGGGGCAGAAGAUUUCAUGGCUAACAUAUAUGAUGAUCCCGAGAAGGCAGAAUUUUGGCUUGAAAAUUCUAUCCGGGUAUUUGAUGAAUUAUCGUUGUAAUACCCAAUUUAUGCCCGGCCCACAUACAUAAAAUAAUAAAAUAAAAUAGAAAAAAUAAAUGUCCAGUUUCUUUACAAAUUCAACCCAAAACAAAAUUAUUUUAGCCCAAUUAAAUUACCCAACACCAGACCCAAAUAAUAAUCCUAACCCAAAACCUAAUUCGGCCCAACCUAGCCCAAAGCAUUCCUCGAACCCCGAAACCCUAGCCUUCAGCAACCAACAACGUCGCCGUCGAACCCAAGGCCUCCUCCACGCGUGCUGCACCUCUGUGCGUGUGCGUCUCCUCCAGCAGGCCUUCGUGCACGCCAUGUCCACCCUCCGUACGACCGUACCUACAGCACACAGACAAAGAAAUAACAAAAGAAGAAAAAAACAAAAAUAAUCACAAAAUGGAGGACUUUGUAUUUUUCUAUUUAUUUUUUCUUCUGUAUUUCCGGCUAUAUAAGCCAAGAUUCAAGACCUGUAUUCUUCCUUACAAAGAUUUUAAAAAGAAAAUACAAAAAAAAACAAAAAGGUGAUUCCUUUGGCUAUCUUUUUUUCUUUCUUUUUUCCUCCGAUUGAUUAUCUUUUUCUUUUUUCCUAUGCAUAAAAACGAAAAGAAAAAGCAAGAGAGAACUUACCGUUGCGAGCGUGCCAACGGAGCUCCGUUCACUCCGUUCGAAAUCGGAGUUGGUUGGGAUUUUGGGAUUGCGGCGCAGAGAACC
RNAcentral lists this long non-coding RNA (882 nucleotides) under Gossypium raimondii (Peruvian cotton). Its description in RNAcentral is "long non-coding RNA (GRAI_LNC000926)". Lineage: Eukaryota; Viridiplantae; Streptophyta; Magnoliopsida; Malvales; Malvaceae. The record is from RNAcentral.